This 735-nucleotide ribosomal RNA is filed under the name uncultured organism. RNAcentral describes it as "bacterial SSU rRNA". It matches the Rfam family "Bacterial small subunit ribosomal RNA", at positions 42 to 744 of the family's 1533-position model. The record is from RNAcentral.
GCAUGCUUAAUACAUGCAAGUCGCGCGAGAAAGUUGCUUCGGGGUGCGAGUAGAGCGGCGAACGGGUGAGUAACACGUAAGGAAUCCUGCCCCUAAAUCCGGGAUAACCUUGCCAACGCGGGGCUAAUACCGGGUGUGGUCCCGAGAUCGCAUGUGCUCGGGAUUAAAGGUGACCUCUCCUUGGAAGUUACCGUCUAGGGAUGGUCUUGCGGCCCAUUAGCUUGUUGGCGGGGUCACGGCCCAGCAAGGCUGCGAUGGGUAGCCGGCCUGAGAGGGUGAUCGGUCACAUUGGGACUGAGAUACGGCCCAGACUCCUACGGGAGGCAGCAGUAAGGAAUUUUGCGCAAUGGACGAAAGUCUGACGCAGCAAUGCCGCGUGAGUGAUGAAGGCCUUCGAGUCGUAAAGCUCUGUUGAGUGGGAAGAAACGUUCGGCGGUUAAUACCCGUCGAGCCUGACGGUACCACUCGAGGAAUCCCCGGCUAACUACGUGCCAGCAGCCGCGGUAAUACGUAGGGGGCAAGCGUUGUUCGGAAUUACUGGGCGUAAAGGGAGCGUAGGUGGGAAAGUGAGUUAGGAGUGUAAUACGCAGGCUUAACCUGCGGCUCGCUUCUAAUACUGCUUCUCUUGAGUAUGGUACACGGACCACCGAAUACCAGGUUGUACCGGCUGGAAUGCCCUAAAUACUCUGGAAGACCAUCAGUUGCGAAGGCCAGACCUCCUGGCCCAAUACUGAC